This 3011-nucleotide ribosomal RNA is filed under the name Salmonella enterica subsp. enterica serovar Typhimurium. RNAcentral's name for it is "bacterial LSU rRNA". It matches the Rfam family "Bacterial large subunit ribosomal RNA". Lineage: Bacteria; Pseudomonadati; Pseudomonadota; Gammaproteobacteria; Enterobacterales; Enterobacteriaceae. The record is from RNAcentral.
GGGUUGUGAGGUUAAGCGACUAAGCGUACACGGUGGAUGCCCUGGCAGUCAGAGGCGAUGAAGGGCGUGCUAAUCUGCGAUAAGCGCCGGUAAGGUGAUAUGAACCGUUAUAACCGGCGAUACCCGAAUGGGGAAACCCAGUGUGAUUCGUCACACUAUCAUUAACUGAAUCCAUAGGUUAAUGAGGCGAACCGGGGGAACUGAAACAUCUAAGUACCCCGAGGAAAAGAAAUCAACCGAGAUUCCCCCAGUAGCGGCGAGCGAACGGGGAGGAGCCCAGAGCCUGAAUCAGCAUGUGUGUUAGUGGAAGCGUCUGGAAAGGCGCGCGAUACAGGGUGACAGCCCCGUACACAAAAGCGCAUGUGCUGUGAGCUCGAUGAGUAGGGCGGGACACGUGGUAUCCUGUCUGAAUAUGGGGGGACCAUCCUCCAAGGCUAAAUACUCCUGACUGACCGAUAGUGAACCAGUACCGUGAGGGAAAGGCGAAAAGAACCCCGGCGAGGGGAGUGAAAAAGAACCUGAAACCGUGUACGUACAAGCAGUGGGAGCACCCUUCGGGGUGUGACUGCGUACCUUUUGUAUAAUGGGUCAGCGACUUAUAUUCUGUAGCAAGGUUAACCGUAUAGGGGAGCCGGAGGGAAACCGAGUCUUAAUUGGGCGUUAAGUUGCAGGGUAUAGACCCGAAACCCGGUGAUCUAGCCAUGGGCAGGUUGAAGGUUGGGUAACACUAACUGGAGGACCGAACCGACUAAUGUUGAAAAAUUAGCGGAUGACCUGUGGCUGGGGGUGAAAGGCCAAUCAAACCGGGAGAUAGCUGGUUCUCCCCGAAAGCUAUUUAGGUAGCGCCUCGUGAAUUCAUCUCCGGGGGUAGAGCACUGUUUCGGCUAGGGGGCCAUCCCGGCUUACCAACCCGAUGCAAACUGCGAAUACCGGAGAAUGUUAUCACGGGAGACACACGGCGGGUGCUAACGUCCGUCGUGAAGAGGGAAACAACCCAGACCGCCAGCUAAGGUCCCAAAGUCAUGGUUAAGUGGGAAACGAUGUGGGAAGGCCCAGACAGCCAGGAUGUUGGCUUAGAAGCAGCCAUCAUUUAAAGAAAGCGUAAUAGCUCACUGGUCGAGUCGGCCUGCGCGGAAGAUGUAACGGGGCUAAACCAUGCACCGAAGCUGCGGCAGCGAACGUAUCACCCAAGACAACUUUACGGAGUUGACGAUUGACGGAGCGAAGCGACGUCAAAGCGUUCAUUAAAGUCGAGUUGGCUUAGGGAUACGUUCGUUGGGUAGGGGAGCGUUCUGUAAGCCUGUGAAGGUGUGUCGUGAGGCAUGCUGGAGGUAUCAGAAGUGCGAAUGCUGACAUAAGUAACGAUAAAGCGGGUGAAAAGCCCGCUCGCCGGAAGACCAAGGGUUCCUGUCCAACGUUAAUCGGGGCAGGGUGAGUCGACCCCUAAGGCGAGGCCGAAAGGCGUAGUCGAUGGGAAACGGGUUAAUAUUCCCGUACUUGGUGUUACUGCGAAGGGGGGACGGAGAAGGCUAUGUUGGCCGGGCGACGGUUGUCCCGGUUUAAGGGUGUAGGUGUGUGUUCCAGGUAAAUCCGGUUCACUUUAACACUGAGGCGUGACGACGAGGCACUACGGUGCUGAAGCAACAAAUGCCCUGCUUCCAGGAAAAGCCUCUAAGCAUCAGGUAACAUCAAAUCGUACCCCAAACCGACACAGGUGGUCAGGUAGAGAAUACCAAGGCGCUUGAGAGAACUCGGGUGAAGGAACUAGGCAAAAUGGUGCCGUAACUUCGGGAGAAGGCACGCUGACACGUAGGUGAAGUGAUUUACUCAUGGAGCUGAAGUCAGUCGAAGAUACCAGCUGGCUGCAACUGUUUAUUAAAAACACAGCACUGUGCAAACACGAAAGUGGACGUAUACGGUGUGACGCCUGCCCGGUGCCGGAAGGUUAAUUGAUGGGGUCAGCGCAAGCGAAGCUCCUGAUCGAAGCCCCGGUAAACGGCGGCCGUAACUAUAACGGUCCUAAGGUAGCGAAAUUCCUUGUCGGGUAAGUUCCGACCUGCACGAAUGGCGUAAUGAUGGCCAGGCUGUCUCCACCCGAGACUCAGUGAAAUUGAACUCGCUGUGAAGAUGCAGUGUACCCGCGGCAAGACGGAAAGACCCCGUGAACCUUUACUAUAGCUUGACACUGAACAUUGAGCCUUGAUGUGUAGGAUAGGUGGGAGGCUUUGAAGUGUGGACGCCAGUCUGCAUGGAGCCGACCUUGAAAUACCACCCUUUAAUGUUUGAUGUUCUAACGUGGACCCGUAAUCCGGGUUGCGGACAGUGUCUGGUGGGUAGUUUGACUGGGGCGGUCUCCUCCUAAAGAGUAACGGAGGAGCACGAAGGUUGGCUAAUCCUGGUCGGACAUCAGGAGGUUAGUGCAAUGGCAUAAGCCAGCUUGACUGCGAGCGUGACGGCGCGAGCAGGUGCGAAAGCAGGUCAUAGUGAUCCGGUGGUUCUGAAUGGAAGGGCCAUCGCUCAACGGAUAAAAGGUACUCCGGGGAUAACAGGCUGAUACCGCCCAAGAGUUCAUAUCGACGGCGGUGUUUGGCACCUCGAUGUCGGCUCAUCACAUCCUGGGGCUGAAGUAGGUCCCAAGGGUAUGGCUGUUCGCCAUUUAAAGUGGUACGCGAGCUGGGUUUAGAACGUCGUGAGACAGUUCGGUCCCUAUCUGCCGUGGGCGCUGGAGAACUGAGGGGGGCUGCUCCUAGUACGAGAGGACCGGAGUGGACGCAUCACUGGUGUUCGGGUUGUCAUGCCAAUGGCACUGCCCGGUAGCUAAAUGCGGAAGAGAUAAGUGCUGAAAGCAUCUAAGCACGAAACUUGCCCCGAGAUGAGUUCUCCCUGAGACUUAGAGUCUCCUGAAGGAACGUUGAAGACGACGACGUUGAUAGGCCGGGUGUGUAAGCGCAGCGAUGCGUUGAGCUAACCGGUACUAAUGAACCGUGAGGCUUAACCUUACAACGCCGAAG